Molecule: ribosomal RNA, 414 nt
Filed under: uncultured bacterium
Lineage: Bacteria
Description: bacterial SSU rRNA
Rfam family: Bacterial small subunit ribosomal RNA
Source: RNAcentral
AACGAACGCUGGCGGCGUGCCUAACACAUGCAAGUCGUGCGAGAAAGUUCCUUCGGGAGCGAGUAAAGCGGCGCACGGGUGAGUAACACGUAGGUAACCUGCCCCCCAGUCUGGAACAACUAGAGGAAACUCUAGCUAAUGCCGGAUGAGACCACGAUCCCUUCGGGGGUUGCGGCCAAAGAUGGCCUCUACUUGUAAGCUAUCGCUGAGGGAUGGGCCUGCGGGCCAUUAGCUUGUUGGUGAGGUAACGGCUCACCAAGGCUGUGAUGGCUAGCUGGUCUGAGAGGAUGACCAGCCACACUGGGACUGAGACACGGCCCCAGACUCCUACGGGAGGCAGCAGUGGGGAAUAUUGCGCAAUGGGCGAAAGCCUGACGCAGCGACGCCGCGUGGGUGAUGAAGGCCUCGGUCGGU